Molecule: ribosomal RNA, 710 nt
Filed under: uncultured cyanobacterium
Lineage: Bacteria; Bacillati; Cyanobacteriota
Description: bacterial SSU rRNA
Rfam family: Bacterial small subunit ribosomal RNA
Source: RNAcentral
AGUUGUAUCCUGGCUCAGGAUGAACGCUGGCGAGAUGCUUUACACAUGCAAGUCGUACGAGAGUCUUUGACUCAAGUGGCGGACGGGUGAGUAACACGUAAGAAUUUGCCUUUAGGAGGGGGACAACAACUGGAAACGGCUGCUAAUACCCCAUAUGCUUUCGAGUGAAACGGAUUUUUCCGCCUAGAGAGAAGCUUGCGGCUGAUUAGCUUGUUGGUAAGGUAAUGGCUUACCAAGGCGACGAUCAGUAUCUGGUUUGAGAGGAUGAUCAGACACACUGGAACUGAGACACGGUCCAGACUCCUGCGGGAGGCAGCAGCGGGGAAUUUUCCGCAAUGGGCGAAAGCCUGACGGAGCAAUCUCGCGUGAGGGAUGACUGCCUAUGGGUUGUAAACCUCUUUUUUCAGGGAGGAAUAAAUGACGUGUACCUGAAGAAUAAGCAUCGGCUAACUCCGUGCCAGCAGCCGCGGUAAUACGGAGGAUGCAAGUGUUAUCCGGAAUCACUGGGCGUAAAGCGUCUGUAGGUUGUUUAAUAAGUCAACUGUUAAAUCUUGAAGCUCAACUUCAAAAUCGCAGUCGAAACUGUUAGACUAGAGUAUAGUAGGGGUAAAGGGAAUUUCCAGUGGAGCGGUGAAAUGCGUAGAUAUUGGAAAGAACACCGAUGGCGAAGGCACUUUACUGGGCUAUUACUGACACUCAGAGACGAAAGC